AUUCCACUAUUUUCUACUGUAGUGAGUAGUUGAUGUGAGUAGCUGGGAGAUAUUUGUAGUUUUUUCUACAACACUGUUUUUGUACCGAGGAAUAAAGUUUUGAAGUGGGAGCAGAAUGGAAAUACCAUCAGUGUUCUUGCAUAGUGCAUAAAUUGAUAUUACAAGGCACCAAAAAGUGUUCAAGUUGAGAAGACUGCCCAGAGGAAGCUAAAGACCAUAAAUUCUUGUGUUUUAGUGCAAAGGCAGAAUUUUAGUUGCAUUUUGUAAACUCCAAAGAGCGCGAUUUUCUCAGUCCCAAAAACACAAACAUGAGUAUUUUUAGCCAGAUUUCUGUGCUGAGAUCAAUCGUACUUUUGGUUGAGAUUUGAUCGCGAAAGAUCUCCGGAACUGGUCUUAUGCCCUAGACCGCGCUAAUAUAUCACAGUUUCACUAAAAAAGUUAUUGGUAUUGUUAGGCAAGUGAGAAGAAACAUACAGAUUUUAUUAAGAAUAUCACAGUAUUUAUUCUUGUCUCGGAGCCUCAAUUUUCUGUGCUGUGGAAACAGAUUUUUUUCAUCACAAACAUCAUCCUCCCAGUAAAAAAAAAAGAAAAUAAAAGAAAAUCUUCAGUGUUGAGAAAUUGGUGUUUAUUUUUACAAGCUGCAAAUUGUAUGCUUUGGAAGCAUGCAAAAGACACAGCAAAUGGAUUAGAACCAUUUUUAUAGUGUUGCAUGCAGAGCAUCGUAAUAAAAAAAAAGAGGAAUCCUCAAGAGACUCUCCUCCAUCGCCAAGGUUGGAUUUGAUUGCCACGAGAAGGAGGUGAAGAAAAAAAAACAGCUCUAAGUCAAUUUUGAUGAAACGUUACAGCUUUUAAACCCUAUUAAGUUCAUAUCUCGAAAAGCCAUAUCGCAAGAGGAAGACUUUGUGGAGGAGUUUGGAGCGGCAUGCAACGCUGUCCGUAUAUUCAUGAAAUGCGCGAACGCCUUCUGCCGCCCCAGCAGCCCUCACCACCACUUCAGCAACCCCUUCAAUUUCGCCACCACGUACCCCAUCAGCAUCCACCGACGCCGCGACCCAUAGAGCCACCAGCCGCCAUGGAACAGGAGCGCGAAGGACUCCUCCUGGAUAGCCGCCCAACGGACGGUAAUCAGCUAAAUCCCGAUGGAUAUGGCUCACAUACGAGUCCAACUCACCAGAGAACUCCACUCGUUCCCAGGGACCUGGGGGAGGACUUUAGUCUGGAUUAUGCCGAGGAGCCACUCGAUCCGAGAAGACCAAAAAAUGCCAACACAUUUACUAAAGAUAUUGGAUUUUACAUUCGAAGCCAAAAAAGGACAUCCCUCUUCAUAGUCACCAGCUUGGUGUAUGCCAUGCUCCUGGUCGUCGUAUGCGUUGCAUACGUCAUCAGCGAUGUUAGCACUCAUCGAAUCCCAGUGAUGUACUACGAAGGAUUCUUUACCUAUCUCUACGGGGCCAGCAUUCUCUUCCUGCUCUACGUCUUUUGCUUCCUUCUGCAAGAGAGCACUUGCUGUGCUGGAGGUGAGAAGCAGCCCAAGCCUGUGAAGGAGAAGAAGCCGAAGGAGAAGAAACCAAAGAAGGGUGAUCCACCAGAGGGAAAAGAUGCCAAAGGUGGAAAGGACAAGGACAAGGAUGCAGCCAAGGGUGGAAAACCCAGUCCAUUCCAGGAGGUCUUACCCAAAAAGAAACGCGAUUUGGUGCGCGAACAAUCACUGCAAAAGGAUACCACCGUCGAAGCCGAAAAGGCCCCCACACCCAAAAAUGUUCGCAAGAGGAAAACCACCCAGAAUAAUACCACCCAUGGCAGUUUCUUCCUCCGUGUUGGGGCAAUUGCUUUUGGAUUGGGAACAAUGAUCUACACUGGCUUGGAAUUUGGUUCAUUCUUUGAGAUUCCAUUUGAUUCACCAUGCCAUCAAAUUUUACGCGGUGUUAAUCCUCUGCUCCAGAUGAUCUUCACUUUUAUGCAAAUGUAUUUCAUCUUUAUGAAUGCCAGAUUGAACAUUCAUCGUUUCAAAGUCUUGGCAAGAUUUGGACUGAUGCACAUUGUUGCAACUAAUAUUUGUGUUUGGAUCCGGACCCUUGUCCUUGAGUCUCUCAAAGAGAUUACUCUCUAUCAUCAACGCCGUGGACCAGCACCUGAAGAUGGUGCCAUUUUAGAUUCUAUCCGACGACAUACCCUGAGGAACGCAGGAACCGUUAUGGGAACACACCUAGAACCGGACUUCGAAUGGGAACCUCUUCAUUCCAACAUGAACGUUCAGGAAGCCUCAUCAGCAGAAUCCCCAGCAAACAUCCUUUCCCGGAUCGUCAAGAGCACAGCUCAGGGUGUGACUGAAGGUCUUGCUGAGGAUCUGGACAACCCAACCCCUUCAAGAACAACAACAUCAGUUCCUGUUACAACCCUUGCACAUACCACAACAACUUUCCUGCGCAAAUUGAAACGUGCAACUUCAGCCCCAACAACCGAAUCAACCGAAACGACAACAACUGCCCCGCCAGUUACUUCAACCUCGACCCUAGCUUCGAUCUUCGCCCUGUUUUCUUCAUCGUCUACGACAACUUCAACCCCAGCUCCUACUACAACAACCACUUCUACUACAACAGAAUCUUUCUUCAACAACCUCUUUGGUUUUGAUCAACACUCCUAUCAGACGUAUUCAGGACUGGCUCACAACACCAGUAACUCCCUGGACCAGACCUUUGAGAGUUUGGAUUCUCUCUUCCCAUCUGCUUUAACAGCUUUCCAGCCUGUUAACUACACAAAUACAACCAAUGCUACAGCCUGCGGACGGGUUAAUAUCAUGGGGACCAUUGUUCAAGAUUCAGCUCCAUACCUUUACCCCUUUAUCAUUGAGUACUGUUUGAUUGGAGCUGUUGUGAUCUACGUAAUGUGGCGUCAGAUUGGACGUUAUCCCAAGUUCGCAACUGAGGAGGACUUGGAACACCGCUUGGAGGUUAUGCUAUCUCGACGAGCUGUAGCCAUGGCUCAGGCUUCUUCAGGCCGUGUUGACUGCGUAGGAGCUUCCAAAGGACUCUUCUUUGGACUCCUACUCCUUGUGGGUUCCCUCAUCUGCCUGAUCCUCUUCUUCGUACUCGUUCGUCAUCCCCAGCUCUCGUUGUUGGCCAUCUACCUUGCAGACGUAUCUCACAGUGCUCUAAUGGCUUUCUCAGUCAUUGCCAUCCUCAUCGGUUUCUGCAGGGUCCAACACUUGAAAUUCCGCUGCGAGGACCAGAGCAACUUGAAUGAUAUCUUGCUGCGUAUUUCGGCAUUUGGCUUGUUCACAUAUUCAGUGUUUAGCGUGAUUUCGGGAGCUCUUAACUUCAUGGAGAGUGAACCAAAUCUACUGGUCUGCGUCACAGGAGCUCUUGCUGUUCUUCAGGUGAUAUUCCAACUGCUGUUCAUCGCUGAUGUAUCCCGACGUCGGGUACAUCUUCCUGAGCACGACCGUAGCAAACCCGGCCGUCAAAUUGUCACAUUCUUGCUAAUCUGCAAUAUAUCCAUGUUCGCCAUUUACACCUUUGAGGCACAGAAAGUCUUUGCAAAUCCGGUUCAAUUGGACUUCUAUGGCUUCAUUGCCUGGUCACUUAUUCAGCGUGUGACCCUUCCACUGUGCAUAUUCCAUCGAUUUCACAGUGCUGUCACCCUGGCCGAAGUGUGGAAGACCACGUACAAGCCACGCUUGGAAUAAGAUCAUUUCAACUCUUACUCAAUUUCUCAGAAUUAGUAUUUUGAGCUGAAAGACAGACAAGAGGCAAGAAUUUUCUCUCACGUCCAGAAUGGCAGUAAAUGAAAGAUAAAAUGAUAAAAAAAAUGAGAAUUAGUAGAAACAAGAAACAUUUAAUCAAAUCUCAAUUAAUAAUCAAAGGGCAGAAAUAGUUUGUGGAAGGAUUCUUUAAAAAGAAUUUAAGAAAGAUGGGUAAACAGAGUUUGUAGGAAGCAUUAUAAACACGAUAAUGGUCCGAUUAGAAGUUUUUUGGCGAAAAGAAUAGAACCAGAUUAAAUAUAGGAAAGAUGUCUGAAUAUUUCAAAGGAGAAAACACGUAAAAAUUACUAUGAAAAAAAAAAUUAAUUCUUGUUCCGAAUCUGUGUCUAGGUGUUAGGAUAAUGAUGAAUCAUAAACUUAUACACACUUAGAACAUUAACCAUUUUUGAAACAAAAGGUGGACAGAGAUCCUUUUACCAAUUCAUUUUCCCAAACAUUCACAAACAUUAGGAUGAAGGCUUUUCUUCAUUGUCUCUGGCAUUAGUGAUUUUCGAGACGCACACAAUUUAAAAAAGGAUAUAAUGGUUCUUUUUCAGAGGACUAAGACUUCAUUUCAGUUCCCAAAAUGCAAGAAUUAGAAGCGGUAGUUUCACCAGAAUUGCACAGAAAUCUUCCAGAUAGAUGAUUCGAGAUCGAGAAAAUUUUGGCAAUAUGGUGCUAAACUUAUGGGCUGCGCACAAGACUUUUGUUUUGCCAAACAUUGAUUUUUCUAUGUUUUUUUUUACACUAAAAUAUAUCACUCUGUUAAGAAAGCGUGCUUAAUGGCCUCUACACACUAGAGAAAUUUAUGUCCGUAUUGAAGAGUUUUUCCUCCACAAAUGUAGGGAAUUUGCUUCAAUAUGGACAUAAAUUUUCUAGUGUGAAGAGGCCAUAAAAACAAAAGUAAUUGGGUAUUCCUUUGUUUUGAUUUAGAAACCUGUGAACAGAUAUUUCAUAAUUGAUAAACGACAAGGGGGCUCAUAAUAACAGGAUCGAAAAAAUUGGGAACAGUUUCCGGAUUCGAAAUACAUGAUUUAAAAUUGAUUUACGAGGUACUAGAGGGGCCACACACGUUCUGAACGCAUUCAGAACGUGAGAGGUAAGCGAGAGCAAGAAGAAGAAUUUGACAGCUCCGUAGUAGCUAUCUAAAUGACAGUUCUCAAACAAGCUUUGAAACUCAUGAUACUGAAAAAGACAGUAAGAAAUGGAUCCAUCAACUGUCAAAUAAAUAUUUAUAAAAAUAUAUGCAACUGUUCACUGCAUAGCUUACAGAGAAUAAUAACACUACAAAUAUUUGGAGCAUUUUUUCUGACAUCAACAUCUGUCAAAAGAAAAACUUACAAAAUACGUCAUUGAAACAAACAAAAAAACGUUUGUCGCGCCUAAUAUUGUACACACGAUUGUGUUCUGUGAACAUCCAUUUGACAUCUCAAGUAGAAAUAAUGAAAUUCUUGUCUAAUCAUCUAGCUCACUGUCAUAAGUAGUUUCGAAAUUAUGUUUAUAUAAUAAAAAAAAGUUGUGUGCCGCUUAUCACCUCUACUGUCGAAAAAACGUCAGUCCCACUUUCGAAAUAAGAGUGAAUAAGAUGACUAGACUAAGUAAGCAUUUCUUAUACUUUUAUGUUGAGCUAUCAAACCGAGCGCACAGUAUAAUUAUAUUUCGAAACUACGUUCAGGUGAGAUGACCGAUCAUAAAUAGUCUUCUCUUUUGUUGAAACUUGUCUAUUUUAGAAAUUGCUUGAGACAGUGCAUAACGUCUAUAAUCUUUUCUUUUUAUCUUAUGCGGAUAUGUUAAAUUCAUGUUUUCGAAAUUACUUUCGAAAAUGAAAGCUGAUCCUUGUGAAACUAACUGUCAUAUGCUUUCGAAAAUACGACCGGAAAAUAAAUAGUCCUCUCCUUUGUCGAGACUUGUAUGUUUUCGAAAUUGGGCACAGUUUAUGACGUCUAUAAACUUUUCUUUUUAUCUCAUGCGGAUAUGUCAAAUUCAGGUUUUCGAAAUUACUUUCGAAAAUGAAAGCUGAUCCUUGUGAAACUGUCAUGUGCUUUCGAAAAGGCAAGUGAGCAUGACGACUACAAAUAUGUCACUUUCUCUUUUAUCAAACUGUCAACGCAAUGUUUACAAAACACUAGCAAUUGUGCGCUGCCCAUUAUCCCAAAGUAUUUUCAUUUAUUAAAAAGUCUCGUAACAUAUUCAUUUCGCUUUAAUCAGAGUUGAAACAGACUGGAUUCUAGAUAUGAGAUUAAACGAAAAUUUACAGUUUCGUGAAAUACAACUUCUGAUUGAAGACACAAACAUUGAUAAAAAAUUGUUAAUACUCAAUUGGUGAAAGUGACAUAAAAGUUAUCAUAAAAAAACAUAGAAGUUGUGUACUUUGAAUUCGCUUCAUACUGGGACUGCAUUUUUGUACUCGUCUACUUUUUAUAUUAGGAAGUAUAUAAAGAAGAUAUUGAGAAAAAAACAUGUUUUUAUAUAGAAGAAAUUUCGAUGAAAAGAUUUUCACAGUUGAUAGUAAUGAAAAAGAAAUUGAAUAAAAAUUAUUAACAUGAAAAAUUUUAUUGUGUAAAACAGAGAAAAAAUGAAACUUUAAGAAAAAGAAAUCAUAAAACUGUUCUCUGACGAGGAGGUAUAAAACAUUAUAGAGAUAUAAACAGAAUCACAUGAAUUGUGAGCAGUUGAGAUGAAGUAAAAAAAAACUUAAAUAACUAAAUAGAAAUAAAAGAAAAAAAUAUUAUCGUCAGAUAUUCCAAUAAUUAAUAACUAAAAGAAAAAUGAAGGAGAUGAAAUUGUAAGCAUAUUGUAUCGUUUUCAUCUUGAACGUUGAAACAAUUUUAAAAAACAAGAAAAAAAUAACGAUUGAGACAGAGUUUUUUCAACAGAAAUCUUUCUAGUUCUUUUUUCCAAACUUUCGAUGAGACAUUUUCUAUAAAAAAAUAGUAAUGGACAAUUACGAUAGAUUAAAAAAAAAGCGUAGAUUGAGAUUGCUCAUGUCCUGAAAUAGAUGCGAGAUAAUGGUAAAACAUAAAAACCCACCAAGAAUCCUUUUUGCAAGAGAUCAUUAGCACUCUUGAGGAAGUAUAUAAAAAAAAAAGAUACAUUUUUUGGAGAAUUUGCACCAAUGAGGACCAGUUACAUUCAUUAGAAAGAAAAGAAGAAUCACAAUGCAUCGACUUACAUAGAAUUAUUGAUAACAAUUUUGUGAGACAGAGUUGCGAUGAAGAAAUACAAGAAAACACAUUUAAGUCUUGUCUACAAUCUAAAUUGAGGAGAAUUUUUUAAAGUUUUUUCUACCAAAAAAAAAGGAGGUAAAAUGGAACAAUUCUUGCGACUUUGAAGCGCAUUUUCAUAAAAAUCGAAAAAAAAAUCCAAAGUGAAAGAGUUUUAAAAUAUUUUUCACAUGGCAACAAAAUGCAUAAUGAUAUUGAAAAAAAGAAUUUUUGUAUUUAACAAAAUUUACUAAAGUGAUUUAUUUGUGAAGGUAAAAAAAAAUAUUACUAUUGUCUAACAGUGUCUCUUUCGUGUAAAUAGUUCUUUUUAAUUCUCAAUAUUGAUCUUCAAUCUAUGGGAAUAAUCAAUCUGUCCAAAAAGGAAAUUUUUAACUUUUCUUCCCAUAUAGACUAAUGAGUUUUUUCUCUUUGAGAAAUUUAUCGUGUAAGAUAAGUUUGCACUAAAAAAAAUUUGUGUGAUACAAUUUUAUGUCUCUUUAUACUCUAAUCCUUCGUGUAAAAUCCACCAUUGUAUUUCUUAUCAGGCCCUGUGAGUGAGGGUCACACGGCUAUCAAUGAACUAAAUUCCCUCUGACGAUGUUUGCGACAAAAUGUAAUUUUCCGAUUGUGUUACUUUUUGUUUAAUUUUAAGGUUAGAUUGUGGAAAAAUAGCAAUCGAGGAAUAAGCAAGGAUAAGUCGAAAAAGGACGUAAAGAUCAAUUGUUCAGAAGUAUUCAAUUUUUCGAAAUCGAACGGUCAUGGCCAGGAAUAUGAGGUCUUGCAUGUACGGACUUAAAAAAGCUAACCUUAAUAAGCAAGGUUCUUAUUUCACAAAGGUUUUUGAAUUCGAAAAAUUGUUUUCGAAUUUCGAAAAAUAAAUAAUCAAUCAAGUUGCAAAUCUCUUAGGGUUUCUUUUCGAUUUUAUUUUCGAACACAAAAUAUCAUUGAAUAAUGAUUAUGAGUGUUCGAAAAAUGAAACCCACUUGAUCCUGUGUUCGAAGAUUGUUAAGAAAGCAAGCAUAAGAUGAAACGAACGAUUUAUAUUCAAUUUGCUGUAUCAAGAAGUGGAAUUGUUAUUUCCCAGAAAAGAUAUGCAAGCCAUUGUGAGGAGGCGUCAACUUCGAAAUCUUUAAAAUCUUGCUUUGGAGCGCCUAGGGAUCGAAAUCGAACAUCUUCCUGAAGUGGAGAAUUAUUGACAAGCGUGGGCUGUUAAAUUGGAUGUCAUGGGCCCGCGAUCAUGAGACAAUUUUCUGAGAUUUCGAGUAUAAAAACAUUGUUAAUCUCCGAAUAAGUAUUUUGAUGUUCAAAAACAGAAUAAUACGACGGAGCAAGGGUUAAAAGGUGUACAUUCGAAGAAGCAAAGCCAUUAAUAAUUCCUUUCGAAGAUCCAUGGGAAAGCAAAAAAUCGUCUAAUUUUGAAUAAUGAUUUUCAGAAAUGAGAAAUUCGUAGUACUUUUUCACUAAAGCUACGGAUAUUGCGACACGAACGCUUUUGAAUCUUUUUCGAAGAUUAAAGGCUAAAUAAGUUUCUAUAAUGGCUUUCCUAGAUUCCGAAUAAAUCGAUUAGUAACCAAGUUAGUAACUACAUAAUGUUUUGGAAAACGAAUAAGUCAUAACUGAAGAUUUAAAAUUGAGGACAUGAAGAUGUUAAAAUCUUCGUCCGAAUAAUCAACAGAAAAUAUGAUGUAAGUUCGAAUUUCGUCAGAAUUCUUCAAAAUAUAUUAUCGUUGAUUCUUCGGAUAUUGAAUAUACAGAUGAAGCUUAUGACUUGAUUUCGAAUAAGAAAUAAUUAAAAUUCGUGGUAUUCAAGGUUAAAUUUUCGAGGCUACAAAAACAAUUAAAUCUCUGUUCGAAGAAUCUGAAGGCUUAAUGGAAAAUUGCGUUUUUUUCUGAGUUAUUUAAAAAAUAAUUUACAGAGAAACGAGAAAGACAGGUCGGAAAGGUUACAGUAAAGUAUCCUUACGGGUGACUGUAUUUGACAGAGCUAACAGAAUAUCUUUUCGAGGAAGAUUUGAAAAAGUUCUAGUACUUAUGUAGAUUUUCGAAAGCAAAACUUCGAAAUAUAAAAAGCUCUUUAAGUCACUUUUAGAAUUUCGAAAAGUUUAAAAAUCGUUCAUAAUAAAAAUACUGCAACAGCGAUUACGACUUGAUUUAGAAAUCUAUGGGAAAGCAGGUCAUUGUGAUGCAUAGACUGACAGCUUUCAAGUGGAAAACUUCGAUUUUUAAAUUCCAGAGUGGUAAUUCGAAAAUCCUCUUCGAACAUCGAAUUUAAAGGAAAAGAGUUCUAGGAUGUUCGGUUACAGCGUUCAAGCGACUAAUAAACAAACUCAUAUAUCCGAUUUCGAAAGACCUUCGAAAUUCGAAAAUUCGAAUAAUUUCUCCAGAACACUGGGAAUGGCAUGAAGCUUCGCUAAAGUGAAAUUAGUAAAAUUCAGAAAUCUAUAUUCCCCUUUGCUGUUUUUCCAAAUUUACAUCCUCAUUAAUUUUCUAAUAAAUUAUUUGUUUAUGUAGAGAAAAAAAACACAACCUCUAGUGAAUUGAAACACUGCCAUUUUUUCAAUUGACGACGAUGGAACAAUACUAAAGUUAGUGCUCUGUGAGAAAGUCACAGAAAAUUUCGCUCAAAUUCAAUUCUUCCUUUUUCGAAGUAAAUUUCCAUCCCUCCAGCAACUUUUACUCAAAAGAGCUUUUCUCUGACUUUUUUGUUCAGAAGUGACACAAAUUGAGAAUCACAAUAAAAUUCGAAAAGAAGCAAUUAGAGACAAAGAGGUAGAAAUUGGCAUGAGCAAUUCAUAAUCAAUUGUUAUUCUUAGAUAUUAGUUGAUUGCAGAGAGAUUGACCAGGGAAAUGUAUAAAUUAUAAUCACAAUAUUUAUUUUAUUUGCUUAGUUUAUUAUUUUUUUGUUUCUUAUCGAGGAACACGAAAGAGUGAGAUAUUUUGCAAUACAGCAUUUGUUUUUGUGUAAAUUAUCCGCCCCUUAGGUCUCGUCCUUCUCGAUGGCAUUUUAUUGAUUUCCUGAGUGAAAUGAGAGAUUUUUAUUUUGAUUAAAUCAAUUAAUUGUGUAUCUGUAACUGAGGCAAAAAAAAAACAAGAAAAUUUACCAAAAAAUAGAAGCCGUGUAUUAUAUUUAAAGGUAUAUAAAUUUAUUGAUUGAAAAUGGAAAGGCAGGUGAAAACGGAGGAACUGCAAUGGAAAUAUCAGAAAAAAAAUAUUUGAAAAGGAGUGAUGAUUUGUGACACUCUCUAGUAGCGAUAUAAUUUAUUGUACAAAAGAUAUAAAAUGAAGAAAAAAAAACAAAGAAUGUACUUAAAAGAUAUGAUAACAUACAUAUGCUAAAUUACGUUAACGAUA
Molecule: RNA transcript, 10293 nt
Organism: Phlebotomus papatasi
Lineage: Eukaryota; Metazoa; Arthropoda; Insecta; Diptera; Psychodidae
Gene: OtopLa
Gene name: proton channel OtopLc
Exons: 17
Source: RefSeq, a predicted model, not a curated record